AGAGUUUGAUCCUGGCUCAGGACGAACGCUGGCGGCGUGCCUAACACAUGCAAGUCGAACGGAGAUUUCAGCAAUGAAAUCUUAGUGGCGAACGGGUGAGUAACGCGUAGACAACCUGCCUUUUAGAUGGGGACAACACUGGGAAACUAGUGCUAAUACCGAAUGUUGUAUUUUGAUUGCAUAAUCGAGAUACUAAAGAUGACCUCUAUUCAUAAGCUAUCGCUAAAAGAUGGGUCUGCGUCUGAUUAGCUAGUUGGUGAGGUAAUGGCUCACCAAGGCGACGAUCAGUAGCCGGUCUGAGAGGAUGAACGGCCACACUGGGACUGAGACACGGCCCAGACUCCUACGGGAGGCAGCAGUGGGGAAUCUUCCGCAAUGGACGCAAGUCUGACGGAGCAACGCCGCGUGAGUGAAGAAGGUUUUCGGAUCGUAAAACUCUGUUUUCAGGGACGAAUGUGCGAUGUGUGAAUAAUGCAUUGUAAUGACGGUACCUGAGUAGAAAGCCACGGCUAACUACGUGCCAGCAGCCGCGGUAAUACGUAGGUGGCAAGCGUUGUCCGGAAUUAUUGGGCGUAAAGCGCGCGCAGGUGGGAUAUUAAGUCUGGUGUUAAAGUUCGGGGCUCAACCCCGUGAAGCAUUUGGAAACUGAUAUUCUUGAGUGCAGGAGAGGAAAGUGGAAUUCCUAGUGUAGCGGUGAAAUGCGUAGAUAUUAGGAGGAACACCAGUGGCGAAGGCGGCACCCUAAGCCGUACCUGACACUGAGACGCGACAGCACGGGGAGCAAACGGGAUUAGAAACCCCGGUAGUCCGUGCCGUAAACGAUGCCAGCUAGACGUUCGGGUUCCGAGAGGGACUUGGGUGUCGCAGUCAACGCGAUAAGCUGGCCGCCUGGGGAGUACGGUCGCAGGGCUAAAACUCAAAGGAAUUGACGG
RNAcentral lists this ribosomal RNA (932 nucleotides) under uncultured Bacillota bacterium. Its description in RNAcentral is "bacterial SSU rRNA". It matches the Rfam family "Bacterial small subunit ribosomal RNA", at positions 8 to 916 of the family's 1533-position model. The record is from RNAcentral. Lineage: Bacteria; Bacillati; Bacillota.